GUACACACCGCCCGUCACACCAUGGGAGUUGGUUUUACCUUAAGACGGUGCGCUAACCGCAAGGGAGCAGCCGGCCACGGUAAGGUCAGCGACUGGGGUGAAGUCGUAACAAGGUAGCCGUAGGUGAACCUGCAGAAGGAUCA
Molecule: ribosomal RNA, 143 nt
Filed under: uncultured eukaryote
Lineage: Eukaryota
Description: partial small subunit ribosomal RNA
Rfam family: Bacterial small subunit ribosomal RNA
Source: RNAcentral